Molecule: ribosomal RNA, 207 nt
Filed under: uncultured bacterium
Lineage: Bacteria
Description: partial 16S ribosomal RNA
Rfam family: Bacterial small subunit ribosomal RNA
Source: RNAcentral
UGCGUAGGUGGCGCGGUAAGUCGGGUGUGAAAUUUCGGAGCUUAACUCCGAAACUGCAUUCGAUACUGCCGGGCUUGAGGACUGGAGAGGAGACUGGAAUUUACGGUGUAGCAGUGAAAUGCGUAGAGAUCGUAAGGAAGACCAGUGGCGAAGGCGGGUCUCUGGACAGUUCCUGACACUGAGGCACGAAGGCGUGGGUAGCAAACA